This 440-nucleotide ribosomal RNA is filed under the name uncultured bacterium. Its description in RNAcentral is "partial 16S ribosomal RNA". It matches the Rfam family "Bacterial small subunit ribosomal RNA", at positions 338 to 795 of the family's 1533-position model. The record is from RNAcentral.
CCUACGGGGGUCAGCAGUGGGGGAUAUUGCACAAUGGGGGAAACCCUGAUGCAGCGACGCCGCGUGGGUGAAGAAGCGCCUCGGCGCGUAAAGCCCUGUCAGCAGGGAAGAAAAUGACGGUACCUGAAGAAGAAGCCCCGGCUAACUACGUGCCAGCAGCCGCGGUAAUACGUAGGGGGCAAGCGGUAUCCGGAUUUACUGGGUGUAAAGGGGGCGCAGACGGCGAUGCAAGCCAGGAGUGAAAGCCCGGGGCCCAACCCCGGGCCUGCUCUUGGAACUGCGUGGGUAGAGUGCAGGAGGGGCAGGCGGAAUUCCUGGUGUAGCGGUGAAAUGCGUAGAUAUGAGGAGGAACACCAGGGGCGAAGGCGGCUUUCUGGACUGUAACUGACACUGAGGUACGAAAGCGUGGGGAGCAAACAGGAUUAGAUACCCUAGUAGUC